This 458-nucleotide ribosomal RNA is filed under the name uncultured bacterium. RNAcentral's name for it is "bacterial SSU rRNA". It matches the Rfam family "Bacterial small subunit ribosomal RNA", at positions 40 to 507 of the family's 1533-position model. The record is from RNAcentral.
CGGCAGGCUUAACACAUGCAAGUCGAGCGGAGACUUCGGUCUUAGCGGCGGAACGGGUGAGUAAUACCUAGGAAUCUGCCUAUUAGGUGGGGGAUAACGAAUACGAAAGGUUCGCUAAUACCGCAUACGUCCUACGGGAGAAAGGGGGGGAUCUUUGGACCUCUCGCUAAUAGAUGAGCCUAGGCCGGAUUAGCUAGUUGGUAGGGUAAAGGCCUACCAAGGCGACGAUCUGUAGCUGGUCUGAGAGGAUGGCCAGCCACACUGGAACUGAGACACGGACCAGACUCCUACGGGAGGCAGCAGUAGGGAAUAUUGGGCAAUGGAGGCAACUCUGACCCAGCCAUGCCGCGUGCAGGAUGACGGCCCUCUGGGUUGUAAACUGCUUUUAUACGGGAAGAAAAAGUACUACGUGUAGUAUAUUGACGGUACCGUAAGAAUAAGGAUCGGCUAACUCCGUG